Molecule: ribosomal RNA, 467 nt
Filed under: uncultured bacterium
Lineage: Bacteria
Description: partial 16S ribosomal RNA
Rfam family: Bacterial small subunit ribosomal RNA
Source: RNAcentral
ACGAACGCUGGCGGCGUGCUUAACACCUGCAAGUCGAACGGAAAGGCCCUGCUUUUGUGGGGUGCUCGAGUGGCGAACGGGUGAGUAACACGUGAGUAACCUGCCCUUGACUUUGGGAUAACUUCAGGAAACUGGGGCUAAUACCGGAUAGGAGCUCCUGCUGCAUGGUGGGGGUUGGAAAGUUUCGGCGGUUGGGGAUGGACUCGCGGCUUAUCAGCUUGUUGGUGGGGUAGUGACUUACCAAGGCUUUGACGGGUAGCCGGCCUGAGAGGGUGACCGGCCACAUUGGGACUGAGAUACGGCCCAGACUCCUACGGGAGGCAGCAGUGGGGAAUAUUGCACAAUGGGCGGAAGCCUGAUGCAGCAACGCCGCGUGCGGGAUGACGGCCUUCGGGUUGUAAACCGCUUUCGCCUGUGACGAAGCGUGAGUGACGGUAAUGGGUAAAGAAGCACCGGCUAACUACGUG